Molecule: RNA transcript, 2232 nt
Organism: Carica papaya (papaya)
Lineage: Eukaryota; Viridiplantae; Streptophyta; Magnoliopsida; Brassicales; Caricaceae
Gene name: protein NRT1/ PTR FAMILY 5.10-like
Source: RefSeq, a predicted model, not a curated record
CAAAGCAGCACAGUAGUUCAUGAACCAAUCACGCGUUCAUUCAGUAGAACACAAAUCCUCAACGAUUCGGACACUUACUAAUAUCUUCCACCAACCACCAAGCUAACCAGAGCCGUGAUUACUGGUGGGAAGGAAACUGAAAACAGAUAGAAUGGCCGCCAGCGGUGUCUCAGAAUCCAGACUUCCUCUGUUGGACGACACGGUCGAUGGCUCCGUUGACUACAAAGGUCGCGCCGUCUCCAGAUUUUCCUCCGGUGGCUGGAGAUCUGCUUCUUUCAUCAUCGGUGUGGAAGUCGCGGAGAGGUUCGCGUACUACGGGAUAGAGUCCAAUCUGAUAAACUAUCUGACGGGCUCAUUGGGCCAGUCCACGGCCGCUGCGGCGGCCAAUGUCAAUGCGUGGGCGGGCAUGUGCUCGUUACUGCCUCUUUUAGGAGCAUUCGUUGCAGAUUCUUUCCUCGGGCGGUACCGCACCAUUGUUGUGGCUUCUGCUAUCUAUAUCUUGGGACUAGGAUUAUUGACCCUGUCGGCGAUUCUUCCUUCUAUCAGCAGUUCUGGCUGUGAAAACACCAACAAAAUUGUGUCAUGUUCUCAUCAGUUCCAAGUGAUCUUAUUCUUCUUCUCAUUAUAUCUAGUAGGAAUUGGACAAAGCGGGCACAAACCAUGUGUUCAAGCAUUUGGAGCAGAUCAAUUUGAUGGACAAAACCCAGAAGAGUGCAAAGCCAAGAGUUCAUUCUUUAAUUGGUGGUAUUUUUCUUUAUGUGCUGGAACCUUAGUGGCUCUCUGGAUGUUAAACUACAUCCAGGACAACCUUAGUUGGGCUCUUGGAUUUGGAAUUCCCUGCAUCACAAUGACCAUUGGAUUGGUUAUUUUCUUGCUUGGAACUAAGACUUACCGAUUCGUCAUCAAAGGGGAUGAGCGAAACCCAUUUCUAAGAAUUGGUCGUGUGUUCAUCUUAGCUAUUAAGAACUGGCGAACUUCAUCUUCAGCAAUAGCUAUUGAAGAAGAAGCUCAUGGAACACUACCUGACAAAAGUUCCUGCCAAUUCAGGUUUCUUAACAAAGCCUUGCUUGCCCCUGAUGGUUCAAAGGAAUAUGGAAAGCUGUGCAGUGUCAAUGAAGUGGAAGAAGCGAAGGCAGUACUUAGGCUUGGUCCAAUAUGGGCUACAAGCUUGGUAUAUGCCAUUGUGUUUGCACAACCACCAACAUUUUUUACGAAGCAAGGAGUCACCAUGGACAGGUCAAUUACUCCUGGCUUUAGCAUACCAGCUGCUACCCUCCAAUCCUUCGUUAGCCUUGCCAUUAUUUCCUUCCUCCCAAUAUAUGACCGCAUAAUCGUUCCAAUAGCAAGAUCGUUCACUCGCAAACCUGCUGGCAUUACAAUUCUCCAGAGAAUUGGAGCUGGACUGUUUAUAUCAGCCAUAUCUAUGUUGAUUGCUGCUUUGGUUGAGAUCAAGAGGUUGAGAACUGCUCAAGAAUGUGGCCUGGUUGACAUGCCUAAUGUGACAAUUCCAAUGAGUGUUUGGUGGUUGGUACCUCAAUAUGCUUUGGCUGGUGUUUCUAAUGUGUUCACCAUGGUUGGUCUUCAGGAAUUCUUCUAUGAUCAGGUCCCAAAUGACUUGAGGAGCGUGGGUCUUUCCCUCUAUCUCAGUAUAUUUGGUGUUGGGAGCUUUCUGAGCAGCUUUCUUAUCUCUGCCAUCGAGAAAGCAACUGGUGGGGAUGGUCGGGAUAGUUGGUUUGCUAAUAAUCUGAAUAGGGGACAUCUCGAUUACUUUUAUUUGCUACUGGCUGGUCUUAGUUUUGCUGCAUUGGCUGUCUACAUGUACUUUGCAAAAUCAUACAUUUAUAAUAAGGGAAACAGGACAUGAGUGCGCGGUUGUCCCAUUGCUCUGCUGCUGGUUUGUAGUGUAGUAUUAUGUUUGUCUUAAAUCCAUUCCACUUCUGUUAUAGUUUUAGUAUGCUCUAGAGGACAAAUAAGGGAGUAGAACUGCCAGAUAUCCAGCUUUAUAAAGGUACUAAGGGGGAGAGACUUCAGCCGCGGAGCCACAAAGGACUUGGAGCUGCUGAUGAUUGUUAUGUUGUUACCAAUAAAUAGAUAGUUGUCAUGGGCAGGCAUCUGUAAAUAAUGCCAAAUUCCUUUAAUGGAGAUCAUGUGUAUCGUUUAAUUUUUCAAAGUAAAUCUUUGCAUAUGUAUUUAGUGACAAAAUAUCAUAAAUGUGUUUAUAAUUAUUAAUAA